Cannabis sativa is the source of this 976-nucleotide long non-coding RNA. RefSeq lists it as uncharacterized. NCBI's taxonomy places the organism in Eukaryota, Viridiplantae, Streptophyta, Magnoliopsida, Rosales, Cannabaceae. The transcript has 2 exons. The record is from RefSeq and is a predicted model, not a curated record.
UUUUUUUUUUUCAAUUUUACUUUGGAAAAAACCCUUCGCCAAGGAGCCUAACUUCGCUGGAAAAAGCUAUUAAAGUUUUUGACAAUGUAAUUAUCGUGCAAUAAAAACAUGUGCGGAAAAUUAGGUGAAAAAGUUUUACCGACGAGGUUAGGCUCACCAACAAAACAUUUUGCAUUUAGUGAAACAUUGAGUUUCAUUUUUAUUUUGAGGAAAAAACCUUUGCCGGGGAGCCUGACUUCGCUUGCAAAAGGUGAACCAGAAUAAAACACGAACCGAACCCCAUUUUCACCAUUUUCUUCUCUCUUUUCUUCUUCUUCUUUCUCUUCUUCUCCUUCUCUUAAUCUAAACCUAUAAUCCUCUCCACCACCACCAUCAUCUCUAGCACCUCCAAACUACCCCACCACCAUCAUCAUCUCCACCAAAUUCUCUUUCUCUUUCUCCCUUUCUCUCCUUCUAUCUCCCUCUUUAAAAAAAAAAAAUUAAAGCAUCAUUGUUGCUGCCUAUGCUGCUGUGCUCUAACCAACACCACCGUUGUUGUGGCCUGACCUACGAUGCCACCUUCCCCUCUCUCAGUGAAGAGUAUUAUCAAGAUCUGAGCCUGAUUCUUCUUCAGUUGUUAGAUUCUUCAAAGUCUUACACGCUAUGAUUGAGUACUAACUUGAUAUGUGUGGGCAUGUACUCAAUCACUAAGAGGGAUGAAAUUUUCUGAAGAACACUCAAGGGAAUUUCAAAAUAGAAGAAGAAGAAAGAAGGAGGUCUCAAAACUCUCUAGUUGUUUGACAAUUUGUAAACUAGGUUAUGAGCAUUAGUUUGGAUAAUGAGACCAUCCUAUUCUUUUUAGACUAUUUCACUUAGGGUUAGAUUUAAAUUAUAUGGCAUUAAAAUGAUAAAAAUUGGGCAAAAAUCACAUUAAGUGGGCCCCACUAAAUUGGAAUUUUUCUAUUUUAUACAACUAUUUAUCAUUUUCUCUCACAAA